GUGCCAGCCGCCGCGGUAAUACGAACCGUCCAAACGUUAUUCGGAAUCACUGGGCUUAAAGAGUCCGUAGGCGGCCAAUUAGGUGAGGUGUGAAAUCCCCCGGCUUAACCGAGGAAUUGCGCUUCAAACCGACUGGCUAGAGGAAGAUAGAGGAAAGCGGAACUGAUGGUGGAGCGGUGAAAUGCGUUGAUAUCAUCAGGAACACCGGUGGCGAAAGCGGCUUUCUGGGUCUUUUCUGACGCUGAGGGACGAAAGCUAGGGGAGCGAACGGGAUUAGAUACCCGUGUAGUCC
Molecule: ribosomal RNA, 292 nt
Filed under: uncultured bacterium
Lineage: Bacteria
Description: partial 16S ribosomal RNA
Rfam family: Bacterial small subunit ribosomal RNA
Source: RNAcentral